RNAcentral lists this ribosomal RNA (2899 nucleotides) under Escherichia coli. Its description in RNAcentral is "bacterial LSU rRNA". It matches the Rfam family "Bacterial large subunit ribosomal RNA". Lineage: Bacteria; Pseudomonadati; Pseudomonadota; Gammaproteobacteria; Enterobacterales; Enterobacteriaceae. The record is from RNAcentral.
UUAAGCGACUAAGCGUACACGGUGGAUGCCCUGGCAGUCAGAGGCGAUGAAGGACGUGCUAAUCUGCGAUAAGCGUCGGUGAGGUGAUAUGAACCGUUAUAACCGGCGAUUUCCGAAUGGGGAAACCCAGUGUGUUUCGACACACUAUCAUUAACUGAAUCCAUAGGUUAAUGAGGCGAACCGGGGGAACUGAAACAUCUAAGUACCCCGAGGAAAAGAAAUCAACCGAGAUUCCCCCAGUAGCGGCGAGCGAACGGGGAGGAGCCCAGAGCCUGAAUCAGUGUGUGUGUUAGUGGAAGCGUCUGGAAAGGCGUGCGAUACAGGGUGACAGCCCCGUACACAAAAAUGCACAUAUUGUGAGCUCGAUGAGUAGGGCGGGACACGUGGUAUCCUGUCUGAAUAUGGGGGGACCAUCCUCCAAGGCUAAAUACUCCUGACUGACCGAUAGUGAACCAGUACCGUGAGGAAAGGCGAAAAGAACCCCGGCGAGGGGAGUGAAAAAGAACCUGAAACCGUGUACGUACAAGCAGUGGGAGCCUCUUAAUGGGGUGACUGCGUACCUUUUGUAUAAUGGGUCAGCGACUUAUAUUCUGUAGCAAGGUUAACCGAAUAGGGGAGCCGAAGGGAAACCGAGUCUUAACUGGGCGUUAAGUUGCAGGGUAUAGACCCGAAACCCGGUGAUCUAGCCAUGGGCAGGUUGAAGGUUGGGUAACACUAACUGGAGGACCGAACCGACUAAUGUUGAAAAAUUAGCGGAUGACUUGUGGCUGGGGGUGAAAGGCCAAUCAAACCGGGAGAUAGCUGGUUCUCCCCGAAAGCUAUUUAGGUAGCGCCUCGUGAAUUCAUCUCCGGGGGUAGAGCACUGUUUCGGCAAGGGGGUCAUCCCGACUUACCAACCCGAUGCAAACUGCGAAUACCGGAGAAUGUUAUCACGGGAGACACACGGCGGGUGCUAACGUCCGUCGUGAAGAGGGAAACAACCCAGACCGCCAGCUAAGGUCCCAAAGUCAUGGUUAAGUGGGAAACGAUGUGGGAAGGCCCAGACAGCCAGAUGUUGGCUUAGAAGCAGCCAUCAUUUAAAGAAAGCGUAAUAGCUCACUGGUCGAGUCGGCCUGCGCGGAAGAUGUAACGGGGCUAAACCAUGCACCGAAGCUGCGGCAGCGACACUAUGUGUUGUUGGGUAGGGGAGCGUUCUGUAAGCCUGUGAAGGUGGCCUGUGAGGGUUGCUGGAGGUAUCAGAAGUGCGAAUGCUGACAUAAGUAACGAUAAAGCGGGUGAAAAGCCCGCUCGCCGGAAGACCAAGGGUUCCUGUCCAACGUUAAUCGGGGCAGGGUGAGUCGACCCCUAAGGCGAGGCCGAAAGGCGUAGUCGAUGGGAAACAGGUUAAUAUUCCUGUACUUGGUGUUACUGCGAAGGGGGACGGAGAAGGCUAUGUUGGCCGGGCGACGGUUGUCCCGGUUUAAGCGUGUAGGCUGGUUUUCCAGGCAAAUCCGGAAAACCAAGGCUGAGGCGUGAUGACGAGGCACUACGGUGCUGAAGCGACAAAUGCCCUGCUUCCAGGAAAAGCCUCUAAGCAUCAGGUAACAUCAAAUCGUACCCCAAACCGACACAGGUGGUCAGGUAGAGAAUACCAAGGCGCUUGAGAGAACUCGGGUGAAGGAACUAGGCAAAAUGGUGCCGUAACUUCGGGAGAAGGCACGCUGAUAUGUAGGUGAAGCGACUUGCUCGUGGAGCUGAAAUCAGUCGAAGAUACCAGCUGGCUGCAACUGUUUAUUAAAAACACAGCACUGUGCAAACACGAAAGUGGACGUAUACGGUGUGACGCCUGCCCGGUGCCGGAAGGUUAAUUGAUGGGGUUAGCGGCAACGCGAAGCUCUUGAUCGAAGCCCCGGUAAACGGCGGCCGUAACUAUAACGGUCCUAAGGUAGCGAAAUUCCUUGUCGGGUAAGUUCCGACCUGCACGAAUGGCGUAAUGAUGGCCAGGCUGUCUCCACCCGAGACUCAGUGAAAUUGAACUCGCUGUGAAGAUGCAGUGUACCCGCGGCAAGACGGAAAGACCCCGUGAACCUUUACUAUAGCUUGACACUGAACAUUGAGCCUUGAUGUGUAGGAUAGGUGGGAGGCUUUGAAGUGUGGACGCCAGUCUGCAUGGAGCCGACCUUGAAAUACCACCCUUUAAUGUUUGAUGUUCUAACGUUGGCCCGUAAUCCGGGUUGCGGACAGUGUCUGGUGGGUAGUUUGACUGGGGCGGUCUCCUCCUAAAGAGUAACGGAGGAGCACGAAGGUUGGCUAAUCCUGGUCGGACAUCAGGAGGUUAGUGCAAUGGCAUAAGCCAGCUUGACUGCGAGCGUGACGGCGCGAGCAGGUGCGAAAGCAGGUCAUAGUGAUCCGGUGGUUCUGAAUGGAAGGGCCAUCGCUCAACGGAUAAAAGGUACUCCGGGGAUAACAGGCUGAUACCGCCCAAGAGUUCAUAUCGACGGCGGUGUUUGGCACCUCGAUGUCGGCUCAUCACAUCCUGGGGCUGAAGUAGGUCCCAAGGGUAUGGCUGUUCGCCAUUUAAAGUGGUACGCGAGCUGGGUUUAGAACGUCGUGAGACAGUUCGGUCCCUAUCUGCCGUGGGCGCUGGAGAACUGAGGGGGGCUGCUCCUAGUACGAGAGGACCGGAGUGGACGCAUCACUGGUGUUCGGGUUGUCAUGCCAAUGGCACUGCCCGGUAGCUAAAUGCGGAAGAGAUAAGUGCUGAAAGCAUCUAAGCACGAAACUUGCCCCGAGAUGAGUUCUCCCUGACUCCUUGAGAGUCCUGAAGGAACGUUGAAGACGACGACGUUGAUAGGCCGGGUGUGUAAGCGCAGCGAUGCGUUGAGCUAACCGGUACUAAUGAACCGUGAGGCUUAACCUU